AGGCGACCAGUGUCGGGCGGCGUGUCGUGGGUGUUUGUGUGCGUGCGUUUCACUCUCUCUCACGGGAGAGUGGCGCGCGUGCGCUCGCUCGCGUUCGUCGUCGACAGGCACGCGCUUCUGAGCCCUGGAUCGUACACUCCAAGUCCACCGCUUAUGAUUGAAACUCUUCUUAGAGGGAUUCACGGCUCUGAAGCCGUAAGAGACUGAGAGCAAUAACAGGUCUGUGAUGCCCUUAGAUGUUCUGGGCCGCACGCGCGCUACAAUGCCGGGCACAGCAGGUUCUUUUCCUACUCCGAGAGGAGCGGGUAACCCUGUGAAAGCCCCUCUUGUUUGACAGUUUGAAUGUCGUUGCAUUCCCCUCUUCGGAGGGUGUGCAUCGGCUAAGGCGUGAUUGGGCCUGGGUCUUGCAAUUUUUUCCCACUAACGAGGAAUGCCUAGUAGCGGCGAGUCACUGAGCUCGCCGUGACUCAGUCCCUGCCCUUUGUACACACCGCCCGUCGCUACUACCGAUUGA
Molecule: ribosomal RNA, 514 nt
Filed under: Socarnes vahlii
Lineage: Eukaryota; Metazoa; Arthropoda; Malacostraca; Amphipoda; Lysianassidae
Description: partial small subunit ribosomal RNA
Rfam family: Eukaryotic small subunit ribosomal RNA
Source: RNAcentral